This 45-nucleotide non-coding RNA is filed under the name Schistosoma mattheei. The record is from RNAcentral. Lineage: Eukaryota; Metazoa; Platyhelminthes; Trematoda; Strigeidida; Schistosomatidae.
AUGCAGCUGACGAGUCCAAAAUAGGACGAAACGCGCAUCCUGGAU